RNAcentral lists this ribosomal RNA (422 nucleotides) under uncultured bacterium. RNAcentral describes it as "partial 16S ribosomal RNA". It matches the Rfam family "Bacterial small subunit ribosomal RNA", at positions 360 to 774 of the family's 1533-position model. The record is from RNAcentral.
AAUUUGGGACAAUGGGGGAAACCCUGAUCCAGCCUUCCCGCGUGUAGGAGGAAGGCCUUCGGGGUGUAAAGUACUUUGGGCAGAGAAGAAAAGGAACCCCCUAAUACGAGGUACUGUUGACGGUAGCUGCAGAAGAGGCACCGGCGAACUACGUGCCAGCGGCCGCGGUACUACGUAGGGUGCAAGCGUGAAGCGGAAUUACUGGGCGUAAAGCGUGUGUAGGCGGUUCGGAAAGAAAGAUGUGAAAUCCCAGGGCUCAACCUUGGAACUGCAUUUUUAACUGCCGAGCUAGAGUAUGUCAGAGGGGGGUAGAAUUCCACGUGUAGCAGUGAAAUGCGUAGAUAUGUGGAGGAAUACCGAUGGCGAAGGCAGCCCCCUGGGAUAAUACUGACGCUCAGACACGAAAGCGUGGGGAGCAACCA